GAUAUGGAUUUAGAGUGCAUAUUUGAGACUUCCAAACAGUAAACAAAAACGUAACUUAUGGGUGAGUGUUUUUAGCAGAGCCAUAUAAUGUCCUUGUGAUUCUGUUGAUUAUUACCUGUCUGUAUUAUGUUGCAGCUCAGCUGAUUUUGGAUUGAUGGCAAAGGGAGAGGGACUUAAGUGAGAGUGAAAACACAAGCACAAGAACCCCAGGGGGAUUCAAUGGAGCCUGAAGACCUGCAAUGAGACCCUCACCCUGCACCUGAGUCUCAACUCCCAGAGUUUUGCAAGCCUCUCCCUGUUCCUUAUUUUUAUUAAACAGACAUUAAGCUUC
Trematomus bernacchii (emerald rockcod) is the source of this 331-nucleotide long non-coding RNA. RefSeq lists it as uncharacterized. The transcript is spliced from 2 exons. The record is from RefSeq and is a predicted model, not a curated record. Lineage: Eukaryota; Metazoa; Chordata; Actinopteri; Perciformes; Nototheniidae.